CAUGAGCUGGGAAGGGCAGAAAGGGUUAGAAAAUCAGGUUAUCUGCUCAGAGGGGGACCCUGCAUGGAUCCCCAGGUCUUGCUAAGGUGGGGACAUCCAAGCCAGUGAAUGUGUCUGAGCAGGGCUGGCCUCCUCAGGCUCCUAGUGAGUCCAGCCCACUGCCCUCAGGCUGACAUAUGGGGACAUGUGUCAGGAGACAAGGGUUCUGCACCCAAGGUUACUCGGUGCUUGGGGAUAAGUGUUCAGGAGACAUGAGGGGACAAGUGUUGUGGACCCAAGGUGACUGGGCCAGGGAAGAGGUUGAGCUCCAGGUGGUUGCCCUGGCAACUAGGACUUCAUUCUGUGUGUGUGUGUGUGUGUGUGUGUGUGUGUGUGUGUGUGUCUGUCAGGGUUGCCUGCCAGGAGCCCUGGUCACCAUGAAUCCCUGUCCCUGAAGCAGGGCCAUUUUGGGCAAUCGCCUGGGUAUAGACAGAGAGCUGCUCUGAGCAGGGGGAGGGGGCCAGGCAACCAUCUUAGGGGAGAGGAGGCCACACUCCCUGUUCUCCAGCCCAGCCCUGCUUCCUCCCAACCCCCAGAACUCAACUUUGGUGCCAUCACUCUUAACAGCAUGGAUGCCACCAGUGAGCGUGACUUCAUGGCUGAGUUCCUGUUCUAGGCUUCAUUCUGCAUGACCCAUCUCAGCAGGAUGGCCAGGGACCUCAUCCUCUGUGGCACCAAGGAAUCCAGC
Molecule: non-coding RNA, 727 nt
Organism: Callithrix jacchus (white-tufted-ear marmoset)
Lineage: Eukaryota; Metazoa; Chordata; Mammalia; Primates; Cebidae
Source: RefSeq, a predicted model, not a curated record